UACGAAGGGUGCAAGCGUUACUCGGAAUUACUGGGCGUAAAGGGUGCGUAGGUGGUCCGUUAAGUUCGUUGUGAAAGCCCUGGGCUCAACCCAGGAACUGCUUCGAAUACUGGCGGACUUGAGGCUAGUAGAGGUCACUGGAACUGACGGUGGAGCGGUGAAAUGCGUAGAUAUCGUCAGGAACGCCAAUGGUGAAGACAGGUGACUGGGCUAGUUCUGACACUGAGGCACUAAAGCGUGGGGAUCAAACGGG
RNAcentral lists this ribosomal RNA (253 nucleotides) under uncultured bacterium. Its description in RNAcentral is "partial 16S ribosomal RNA". It matches the Rfam family "Bacterial small subunit ribosomal RNA", at positions 524 to 776 of the family's 1533-position model. The record is from RNAcentral.